CCUCUUCAUUUCGUUAGUGGAAUGAAGAGGAUUUAAAUUCGGCUUUUCCCCCGUGCACAAAACUGACAAUCAUUGUCAAUUUGACUUCCAUAAAUAGUUGAGGGAGAAAAUAAAUAAAAAAUCUCAAUAGUACAGGGGAUGAAAUGAAAUUAACCCACCCCUGUUGUAUACAGUAUUUUUGUUUCCGCCUCCAGACUUCUUGGUUUCCAUUCCUUGA
This 217-nucleotide long non-coding RNA is filed under the name Actinidia chinensis (golden kiwifruit). RNAcentral describes it as "long non-coding RNA (ACHI_LNC000159)". Lineage: Eukaryota; Viridiplantae; Streptophyta; Magnoliopsida; Ericales; Actinidiaceae. The record is from RNAcentral.